RNAcentral lists this ribosomal RNA (375 nucleotides) under uncultured bacterium. RNAcentral describes it as "bacterial SSU rRNA". It matches the Rfam family "Bacterial small subunit ribosomal RNA", at positions 524 to 898 of the family's 1533-position model. The record is from RNAcentral.
GACGAACCGUGCAAACGUUGUUCGGAAUCACUGGGCUUAAAGGGCGCGUAGGCGGCUUGCCAAGUCAGGGGUGAAAUCCUGCAGCUCAACUGUAGAAGUGCCUUUGAUACUGGCGAGCUCGAGGGAGGUAGGGGUGGGUGGAACUUCUGGUGGAGCGGUGAAAUGCGUUGAUAUCAGAAGGAACGCCGGUGGCGAAAGCGACCCACUGGAUCUCUACUGACGCUGAGGCGCGAAAGCUAGGGGAGCAAACGGGAUUAGAUACCCCGGUAGUCCUAGCCCUAAACGAUGAGCACUAGAUUGCAGACUGAUCAUGGGUUUGCAGUCGAAGCAAAAGUGUUAAGUGCUCCGCCUGGGGAGUAUGGUCGCAAGGCUGAA